RNAcentral lists this ribosomal RNA (463 nucleotides) under uncultured bacterium. RNAcentral's name for it is "bacterial SSU rRNA". It matches the Rfam family "Bacterial small subunit ribosomal RNA", at positions 28 to 492 of the family's 1533-position model. The record is from RNAcentral.
GAUGAACGCUGGCGGCGUGCUUAACACAUGCAAGUCGAACGGGAAACCUUUUAUUGAAGCUUCGGCAGAUUUAGCUGGUUUCUAGUGGCGGACGGGUGAGUAACGCGUGGGUAACCUGCCUUAUACAGGGGGAUAACAGUCAGAAAUGGCUGCUAAUACCGCAUAAGCGCACAGAGCUGCAUGGCUCAGUGUGAAAAACUCCGGUGGUAUAAGAUGGACCCGCGUUGGAUUAGCUAGUUGGUGGGGCAACGGCCCACCAAGGCGACGAUCCAUAGCCGGCCUGAGAGGGUGAACGGCCACAUUGGGACUGAGACACGGCCCAGACUCCUACGGGAGGCAGCAGUGGGGAAUAUUGCACAAUGGGGGAAACCCUGAUGCAGCGACGCCGCGUGAAGGAAGAAGUAUCUCGGUAUGUAAACUUCUAUCAGCAGGGAAGAUAGUGACGGUACCUGACUAAGAAGCC